This 289-nucleotide ribosomal RNA is filed under the name uncultured Gaiella sp. RNAcentral describes it as "partial 16S ribosomal RNA". Lineage: Bacteria; Bacillati; Actinomycetota; Thermoleophilia; Gaiellales; Gaiellaceae. The record is from RNAcentral.
CUACUAGGGUAUCUAAUCCUGUUCGCUCCCCACGCUUUCGCGUCUCAGCGUCAGUACCGUACUAGAGAACCGCCUUAGCCACGGGUGUUCUUCCUGAUAUCUGCGCAUUUCACCGCUACACCAGGAAUUCCAUUCUCCUCUUCCGGACUCUAGCCGCACGGUUUCCAUCGACGUCUGAAGGUUAAGCCUCCAGUUUUCACAACGGACCUGUGCGGCCGCCUACACGCUCUUUACGCCCAAUAAAUCCGGACAACGCUUGCCCCCUACGUAUUACCGCGGCUGCUGGCAC